This is a long non-coding RNA of Gigantopelta aegis, 1099 nucleotides long. RefSeq lists it as uncharacterized. The record is from RefSeq and is a predicted model, not a curated record. The transcript has 2 exons. Lineage: Eukaryota; Metazoa; Mollusca; Gastropoda; Neomphalida; Peltospiridae.
GUAGGUACACAUGUAAUUGGAUGGUUGGGUAGGUACACAUGUGGUUGGAUGGUUGGGUGGGUACACAUGUAAUUGGAUGGUUGGGUAGGUACACAUGUAAUUGGAUGGUUGGAUGGUUGGGUAGGUACACAUGUAAUUGGAUGGUUGGAUGGAUGGGUAGGUACACAUGUGGUUGGAUGGAUGGGUAGGUACACAUGUAAUUGGAUGGUUGGAUGGAUGGGUAGGUACACAUGUAAUUGGAUGGUUGGGUAGGUACACAUGUAAUUGGAUGGUUGGAUGGAUGGGUAGGUACACAUGUAAUUGGAUGGUUGGAUGGAUGGGUAGGUACACAUGUAAUUGGAUGGUUGGAUGGAUGGGUAGGUACACAUGUAAUUGGAUGGUUGGAUGGAUGGGUAGGUACACAUGUGGUUGGAUGGUUGGGUAGGUACACAUGUAAUUGGAUGGUUGGAUGGAUGGGUAGGUACACAUGUAAUUGGAUGGUUGGGUAGGUACACAUGUAAUUGGAUGGUUGGAUGGAUGGGUAGGUACACAUGUGGUUGGAUGGUUGGGUAGGUACACAUGUAAUUGGAUGGUUGGAUGGAUGGGUAGGUACACAUGUGGUUGGAUGGUUGGGUAGGUACACAUGUAAUUGGAUGGUUGGAUGGAUGGGUAUAAUGUCAAAGUGCCUAUAGGAUUGAGUGGAUGGAUGGGUAGGUACACAUGUGGUUGGAUGCCUAUAGGAUUGAGUGGGUGGAUGGGUAGGUACACAUGUGGUUGGAUGCCUAUAGGAUUGAGUGGAUGGAUGGGUAGGUACACAUGUGGUUGGAUGCCUAUAGGAUUGAGUGGGUGGAUGGGUAUACUGUCAAAGUGCCUAUAGGAUUGAGUGGAUUGCUGGGUAUAAUGUCAGAGUGCCUAUAGGAUUGAGUGGAUGGCUGGGUAUAAUGUCAAAGUGCCUAUAGGAUUGAGUGGAUGGCUGGGUAUAAUGUCAAAGUGCCUAUAGGAUUGAGUGGAUGGCUGUGACUGAUUUAUUGAUCAGAUAAUCUAACACAUUUCUAUAUAUGUAUGUGUACUCUUGUCAAAUAUGUUUAAGAAUUUCAGAAAUAAAUAUUUUUUAUUAUUU